AAACAUUCAGCAAACCUACAGAGAAUCCUUCUGCUUCCACUCCAAGAGUCAGGCUGCUGAGGGCUCCAGACUAAACCUUCCCACAGCUUUCCUCCACGUUUGCUCCUUUGUAGACCCAGUUUCACAAAGGAUCUCCCAUUGCCAGGGAAUUCUGCUGCUUCCGCUCAGGAUGGAGCUUCUAUUUUCUCCUGUACCACAGCUCUCCUCUGGGGCUUCCAACCAUCAGUGUCACCAGAGCUUCAGAAAUAGAGAAUUAAUCAAACACCGAGGUAGGCACUCAUAUGAGAAAGUGCUGCUUUAACACAUUCCCCACCUGGAGCACAAACAGG
Molecule: long non-coding RNA, 329 nt
Filed under: Cyanistes caeruleus (blue tit)
Lineage: Eukaryota; Metazoa; Chordata; Aves; Passeriformes; Paridae
Description: lncRNA (ENSCCEG00000023134.1)
Source: RNAcentral